GAUGAACGCUGGCGGCGUGCCUAAUACAUGCAAGUCGAGCGAACGGACAAGAAGCUUGCUUCUCUGAUGUUAGCGGCGGACGGGUGAGUAACACGUGGAUAACCUACCUAUAAGACUGGGAUAACUUCGGGAAACCGGAGCUAAUACCGGAUAAUAUUUUGAACCGCAUGGUUCAAAAGUAAAAGACGGUCUUGCUGUCACUUAUAGAUGGAUCCGCGCUGCAUUAGCUAGUUGGUAAGGUAACGGCUUACCAAGGCAACGAUGCAUAGCCGACCUGAGAGGGUGAUCGGCCACACUGGAACUGAGACACGGUCCAGACUCCUACGGGAGGCAGCAGUAGGGAAUCUUCCGCAAAGGGCGAAAGCCUGACGGAGCAACGCCGCGUGAGUGAUGAAGGUCUUCGGAUCGUAAAACUCUGUUAUUAGGGAAGAACAUAUGUGUAAGUAACUGUGCACAUCUUGACGGUACCUAAUCAGAAAGCCACGGCUAACUACGUG
RNAcentral lists this ribosomal RNA (497 nucleotides) under uncultured bacterium. RNAcentral's name for it is "partial 16S ribosomal RNA". It matches the Rfam family "Bacterial small subunit ribosomal RNA", at positions 28 to 507 of the family's 1533-position model. The record is from RNAcentral.